Molecule: ribosomal RNA, 932 nt
Filed under: uncultured bacterium
Lineage: Bacteria
Description: bacterial SSU rRNA
Rfam family: Bacterial small subunit ribosomal RNA
Source: RNAcentral
AAGUUUGAUCCUGGCUCAGAGCGAACGCUGGCGGCGUACUUAACACAUGCAAGUCGAACGGGGAUCAUCGUGUGAGCAAUCACGGGGUGGUCCUAGUGGCGCACGGGUGAGUAACACGUGGGUAACCUGCCCUCGAGAUCGGGAUACCCCCUCGAAAGGGGGGCUAAUACCGGAUACGCUCCUCGGGUCGAAAGAUCUGGGAAGGAAAGGUGGCGCAAGCUGCCGCUCUUGGAGGGGCUCGCGGCCUAUCAGCUAGUUGGCGGGGUAACGGCCCACCAAGGCUAUGACGGGUAGCUGGUCUGAGAGGACGACCAGCCACACGGGGACUGAGACACGGCCCCGACUCCUACGGGAGGCAGCAGUGGGGAAUUUUCCGCAAUGGGCGAAAGCCUGACGGAGUGACGCCGCGUGUGGGAUGAAGGCCUUCGGGUCGUAAACCACUGUCAGUGGGAAAGAUGGGUGUCGGCGCGAUAACCGCCGGCAUCUGACGGUACCUGCAGAGGAAGCCCCGGCUAACUCUGUGCCAGCAGCCGCGGUAAGACAGAGGGGGCAAGCGUUGCUCGGAAUUACUGGGCGUAAAGGGCGCGUAGGCGGGAUGGCAAGUCGGUCGUGAAAUCCCUCGGCUCAACCGAGGAGCGUCGAUCGAUACUGCCGUUCUUGAGGGUUGCGGAGGAGACUGGAAUUCCCGGUGUAGCGGUGAAAUGUGUAGAGAUCGGGAGGAACACCGGUGGCGAAGGCGGGUCUCUGGGCAACUCCUGACGCUGAGGCGCGAAAGCGUGGGGAGCAAACGGGAUUAGAUACCCCGGUAGUCCACGCUGUAAACGAUGACGACUAGGUGUGGGGGGGUUCAGUCCCCUCCGUGCCGCAGCUAACGCAUUAAGUCGUCCGCCUGGGGAGUACGGCCGCAAGGUUGAAACUCAAAGGAAUUGACG